GGGCAUCUUUAGUGCCACUGCUCCCAGGGGCAGCAAGUGCCCUGCCCUGCAGCAUGAACUGCGCUGUUCCCGUUCAUGGUGGCUGUGUGGGUCCUGAUGAGCUGCGAAUGGCACCGCAUGAAGCCUUGCUUGUUCCUGGGACUCAUGCCGAUCAUUUGGUGCUUGCAGAAGCCCGGCAGCACCUCCCCUACAAGCAGCUGUGUUGUAGGUGUCUGCAGCAUACGUGGGUGCUUGCUGAGAAAAUGCUUCCCAAGCUGAGUGCCUCUGAGGGUGGAUAAAGGGGCUCCUGGCUCCCAAGCACGGGUGUCCUCAAGUGCCCAAGUCAGAAACCCGUUCCCAGUCCUGAGAGCUGAAGCAGGUUCCUGGGUGUCAAAGGCAGCAGAUCUGGUGCCUUCAGAGCAUCCAUGCUGAGUCCUCAGGCAUUUCUUCAGGUGGGAAGCAGCCAAAACCAGAGCACUGCAUCCCUUAACCAGCCUUACUCAGGUUCCCCUGGCCCACAAUAGCACAGGGCUGAGAUGCAGGAGCUGCAGGAAAGCUGGCAGCCUAGGCAGGUCCCAGGAGCAAGUCUAGAGCAGGGACCCCACACAGCCUUGGGGGGCUGUGGGCAGCUUGUGCCAGUGGUGGAGAGCUGAGGUACCUGAGAUGUGCCAGGCCAAGGGGAGUGCUGCUGGGUUCGGUAGGGCGAUGUGAGCAGGAAGGAGGAGAGCUCUCAUGUGAGAGCAAGGAGGCAGCUUGCAGCAAGACACAUUUUAAAUGACAUUGAUAUGAGAGGGAAAGAGAGAGGUGGGGGUCCAGCAUAACUUGGGCAGGGUCACAAAUAAGGCAUUGCCCAGAGGGUGAAAGCCUGAGCUGAGACAAGAAUGCAGCAGAGCCUCUCUGUGCCCCAUGCUGGAAGGGUUGCAAAAGGACAGAACCUGCCAUGGAUGAGGCUCUAAAGCAGCAACUGAAACCCAGCAGCUGCUGAUGGCUUGGAUUCAUUCUUUUAACUAAUUAAAUGUGUGCUGGGCCAGGGAGAAGAUGCCAGUUUCCCUGUAGCUUCUCUCUCUGGGAGUCUGAGGAUGACAGAAAGGUGGUGGGCUGUUUGCUCCCUCUUAAUCCCCUUUCUGAGGGUUUCCCCUCCACAGCUAGAGAUCAAGAGCUGGUCAUAAAGGAAGAUAGAAAGUUUCCCAGCUGAGAUUUGAGUUCCAGUCUCUCUCUCCUCCCAGUACUCAGUGUAUCAGAUUUUGGAAGAUUGACCAUUUCCUUGGCUAAUCAAAAUAAGGGGGAAUAGAAGAGGAGUGUAAAUUCUCAAGAACAAUUGCUUUCAGAUCAUUGCUAAAGAUACAGAACAGCAUGGAGUCCAGGGGAGGUACCUGUGGGACCCAAUUAGAAAUGGCUGCACUGAAGGCUGAUGUAUCACCAACAAUUAUGUUCUGAGAUCUAGCAGUUAACCAGUUUUUAAACCCAAGCUAAUCAUGCCAUAUUCGUUUGUUAAGUACAAAUAAAAACCAAGCCAGGUCGAAGAUACCCAGAUUAA
Molecule: long non-coding RNA, 1516 nt
Organism: Oxyura jamaicensis (ruddy duck)
Lineage: Eukaryota; Metazoa; Chordata; Aves; Anseriformes; Anatidae
Exons: 3
Source: RefSeq, a predicted model, not a curated record